RNAcentral lists this long non-coding RNA (605 nucleotides) under Homo sapiens (human). Its description in RNAcentral is "HSALNT0111237". Lineage: Eukaryota; Metazoa; Chordata; Mammalia; Primates; Hominidae. The record is from RNAcentral.
GGUGGCAAAGUAAGGAGGACUGUGACAGAGGUAGGGUAAUGGGCUGGGAAGGCCACAGAGUAGGGACAUAGUGAAUUAACCCCAUCAGGGAGAGGUGAGGCAGAGGCCAAAUGUGUGGGGAAGAGUCUGGAGAUGUUCACCUGGUCCCGCCUGAGCUAUCUAAGGAGGGAACGACUUGCUACCAAACCCUGUCAUGUCACUCUCCAGUUCUUUCACAGUUACAGAGCCCAUUGCCAGGGCUGGAAUGCAGACUUCCCAAGCAAAGAGAAUUGUUUCUCCUCUGCUUCCUCCUCUUUCUCCCCUUCCUCCUUUUGUCCCCAAAGCACCCAGCAAAUGUGAAGACAGAGAAAGGAAGGAAUGGUGAGCAAGAAGAAUCCCUAAUGCCAGUGGAGUUGGUAAGAGAGUGUAGAGAUUGCAUCCCUGGAGGCUAGCAAACGACAAAAGAAACUUCGUCUGGAACCAGUCAAAGUCGGGAGACCUGCGUUGUGCCGACUCUCGAUGCGAUUGUUUUGGAAUUUUGCUGAAGCUCUCUUGCAGAAUUGCUCUGUAAAUGGCAAGAAGAAAUGCCUUUCACUAUAAACAGAAAAUAAAGCUUUCACAAGUUG